This 468-nucleotide ribosomal RNA is filed under the name uncultured bacterium. RNAcentral's name for it is "partial 16S ribosomal RNA". It matches the Rfam family "Bacterial small subunit ribosomal RNA", at positions 28 to 507 of the family's 1533-position model. The record is from RNAcentral.
GACGAACGCUGGCGGCGUGCUUAACACAUGCAAGUCGAACGGAAAGGCCCUGCUUUUGUGGGGUGCUCGAGUGGCGAACGGGUGAGUAACACGUGAGUCACCUUCCCUUGACUUUGGGAUAACUUCAGGAAACUGGGGCUAAUACCGGAUAGGAGCUCCUGCUGCAUGGUGGGGUUUGGAAAGUUUCGGCGGGUGUGGAUGGACUCGCGGCUUAUCAGCUUGUUGGUGGGGUAGUGGCUUACCAAGGCUUUGACGGGUAGCCGGCCUGAGAGGGUGACCGGCGACAAUGGGACUGAGAGACGGACCAGACGGCUACGGGAGGCAGCAGUGGGGAAUAUGGCACAAUGGGCGGAAGCCUGAUGCAGAAACGUCGCGUGUGGGAUGAAGGCCUUCGGGUUGUAAACCGCUGUCGCCUGUGACGAAGCGGGAGUGACGGUAAUGGAUAAAGAAGCACCGGCUAACUACGUG